RNAcentral lists this ribosomal RNA (490 nucleotides) under uncultured bacterium. RNAcentral's name for it is "bacterial SSU rRNA". It matches the Rfam family "Bacterial small subunit ribosomal RNA", at positions 802 to 1298 of the family's 1533-position model. The record is from RNAcentral.
GUAAACGAUGAUUACUAGGUGUGGGGGGACUGACCCCUUCCGUGCCGGAGUUAACACAAUAAGUAAUCCACCUGGGGAGUACGACCGCAAGGUUGAAACUCAAAGGAAUUGACGGGGGCCCGCACAAGCAGUGGAGUAUGUGGUUUAAUUCGAAGCAACGCGAAGAACCUUACCAGGUAUUGACAUUAGAUGCAUAUCAUGGAAACAUGAGAAGUCCUUCGGGACAUCGAAACAGGUGGUGCAUGGUUGUCGUCAGCUCGUGUCGUGAGAUGUUGGGUUAAGUCCCGCAACGAGCGCAACCCUUACUGAUAGUUACUACGCAAGAGGACUCUAUCGGGACCGCCGUUGACAAAACGGAGGAAGGUGGGGAUGACGUCAAAUCAUCAUGCCCUUUAUGACCUGGGCUACACUCGUACUACAAUGGCCGUUAACAGAAGGGGCCGAAGAGGCGACUCGGAGGAAAUCCAUUAAAAGCGGUCUCAGUUCGGAU